AACGCGUGAGCAACCUGCCUUUAUCAGGGGGAUAACGCAUCGAAAGAUGUGCUAAUACCGCGUAAGACCACAGCCUCACAUGGGGCAGGGGUCAAAGGAGCAAUCCGGAUAAAGACGGGCUCGCGUCCGAUUAGCUAGUUGGUGAGACAACAGCCCACCAAGGCGACGAUCGGUAGCCGACCUGAGAGGGUGAUCGGCCACAUUGGAACUGAGAGACGGUCCAG
Molecule: ribosomal RNA, 224 nt
Filed under: uncultured Bacillota bacterium
Lineage: Bacteria; Bacillati; Bacillota
Description: uncultured Firmicutes bacterium partial 16S ribosomal RNA
Rfam family: Bacterial small subunit ribosomal RNA
Source: RNAcentral